This 459-nucleotide ribosomal RNA is filed under the name uncultured bacterium. RNAcentral describes it as "partial 16S ribosomal RNA". It matches the Rfam family "Bacterial small subunit ribosomal RNA", at positions 338 to 795 of the family's 1533-position model. The record is from RNAcentral.
CCUACGGGAGGCAGCAGUGAGGAAUAUUGGUCAAUGGGAGAGAUCCUGAACCAGCCAAGCCGCGUGAGGGAAGACGGCCCUAUGGGUUGUAAACCUCUUUUGUCGGAGAACAAAACCCGGGACGUGUCCCGGACUGCGUGUAUCCGAAGAAAAAGCAUCGGCUAACUCCGUGCCAGCAGCCGCGGUAAUACGGAGGAUGCGAGCGUUAUCCGGAUUUAUUGGGUUUAAAGGGUGCGCAGGCGGAGGCACAAGUCAGCGGUAAAAUCGCGGGGCUCAACCCCGCUCCGCCGUUGAAACUGUGUCCCUUGAGUGCGCGAAGGGUAGGCGGAAUGCGUGGUGUAGCGGUGAAAUGCAUAGAUAUCACGCAGAACUCCGAUCGCGAAGGCAGCCUACCGGCGCGCAACUGACGCUCAUGCACGAAAGCGUGGGUAUCGAACAGGAUUAGAUACCCCUGUAGUC